GAUGAACGCUAGCUACAGGCUUAACACAUGCAAGUCGCGGGGCAGCAUGGGGGUUGCUUGCAAUCCCCGAUGGCGACCGGCGCACGGGUGAGUAACGCGUAUCCAACCUGCCCUUCACCACGGGAUAACCCGGCGAAAGUCGGACUAAUACCGUAUGUUGUCCAUUGACGGCAUCCGAUUUGGACGAAAGGCUUGGCGGUGAGGGAUGGGGAUGCGUCCGAUUAGCCAGACGGCGGGGUAACGGCCCACCGUGGCUACGAUCGGUAGGGGUUCUGAGAGGAAGGUCCCCCACACUGGAACUGAGACACGGUCCAGACUCCUACGGGAGGCAGCAGUGAGGAAUAUUGGUCAAUGGGCGUAAGCCUGAACCAGCCAAGUAGCGUGCAGGAUGACGGCCCUAUGGGUUGUAAACUGCUUUUAUGCGGGGAUAAAGUGGCCCACGUGGGGGCUUUUGCAGGCACCGCAUGAAUAAAGACCGGCUAAUUCCGU
RNAcentral lists this ribosomal RNA (489 nucleotides) under uncultured bacterium. RNAcentral's name for it is "partial 16S ribosomal RNA". It matches the Rfam family "Bacterial small subunit ribosomal RNA", at positions 28 to 506 of the family's 1533-position model. The record is from RNAcentral.